Molecule: long non-coding RNA, 586 nt
Filed under: Struthio camelus australis
Lineage: Eukaryota; Metazoa; Chordata; Aves; Struthioniformes; Struthionidae
Description: lncRNA (ENSSCUG00000012094.1)
Source: RNAcentral
CUUAAGACUCCUGCAGACUUGGCCAGGCUUGUUUAGGAAAUCUACUCUCUAUUCCCUGUGCACAGCCAUGCCAGUUUGACUGCUCGAAUCUGAAACCUGCUAAGUUUUGGAUGGAGGCUGCAAGUUAAAACCUAGGAAUCAGCAAUAUUCUGCAAGAUAGUGGAUCCACUUGAACAUUUCACAGCCUUAUGCCAGAUUAAACCAUAUUUAGAAGUCACUGAAUUCCUGAUGUUUUUAGAGGAAAAUAUCCCUGGGAGGAAAACCCUCUGAGAUUUCAUUGAAGUAAUCUACACUCUGAAGUGAUGGGAGCAGAAGGCAGAUCGAGAUUGUGUUGCAACUAUGGAGUAAGAUCUAUAUUUAUAGUGUGAAGAGAAUUUGUACAGAAGCCACAGUUGUCUCUCUGCCUGGCGUGACAUAUCUGUUCUGCAAUAAUGUUGUGUAACCUUCUGAAGAGCAACCUCCACUUUCUUGUGAAGAAGGAGCUAUCUCUUUGAAAUACUGUUGUGGCAGCCAUCAAAAAGGUGCGAUAUGAAAUGUUUAUUCACAGACAGAUCCCAGUUAUUAACUGAAACGAAACAUAUGUGAU